GAUGGAUUUGAUCCCAACUAAUGAACCAAGCAUACAGUCACAAGAGCAGAUGAUUCCAAAACACCAAUAACUCUGCUGUUUCUAAUAAUCUUCGGUGGCUUAUAUUGACUAGCUGGUGCUCCAUUCUCCACUGCCAUUUGCAAUAUCCUAUCAAAGCUACCAGGCUUUACAAUAUAUACCAACAGAGGACCUAUUUCACCCCUAUCUCUCUGCACCUUGUAUAUACCUCCCAAACCCUUCUCAAGAGAGGAACAACACCACUUGAGAGACUCAACUGAUUCUUGCAAUUUCUCCUCCUGCANNNNNNNNNUUAACUUCUAAAAAAAUCUUCAAUUGCUUUGGACUCAAUUCCAAAUCCAAGAAACUUGCGAACUCCACAAUCUCUGCUGCAAUAGCAUUUCUCAUAACAAGC
RNAcentral lists this unclassified non-coding RNA (412 nucleotides) under Hevea brasiliensis (rubber tree). Lineage: Eukaryota; Viridiplantae; Streptophyta; Magnoliopsida; Malpighiales; Euphorbiaceae. The record is from RNAcentral.